This 497-nucleotide ribosomal RNA is filed under the name uncultured bacterium. Its description in RNAcentral is "partial 16S ribosomal RNA". It matches the Rfam family "Bacterial small subunit ribosomal RNA", at positions 28 to 507 of the family's 1533-position model. The record is from RNAcentral.
GAUGAACGCUGGCGGCGUGCCUAAUACAUGCAAGUCGAGCGGACAGACGAUGCUCUUGCUCCGCUGUCGUUAGCGGCGGACGUGUGAAUAACACGUGUAUAACCUACCUAUAAUACUGAUAUCACUAGGAAAAUGCGGAUCUUAUCCCGUAUGAUAUAUUGAACCUCGUUGGUCGUUGGAGAAUUUCGGUUUUUCUGGCUCUUCUCGAUGCUUCUGCGCCGCAUUAGGUAGUUGUUACGUUAACGGCUUAGCAAGGCUACGAUGCGUAGCCGACCUGAGAGGGUGAUCGGCCACAUGGGAACUGAGACAGGGACAAGACUACUAAGGGAGGACGCAGUCGGGAAUGUUAGGCAAUGGGCGAAAGCAUGACGCAGCAACGCGGAGUGAGUGAUGAAGGUCUUGGGAGCGGAAAGACCUGUUACUAGGGAAGAACAACUGUGUAAUGAAACGAAGCCGUAUUGACGGUAACUAGUAAGAAAGCAACGGCUAACUACGUG